Molecule: long non-coding RNA, 5923 nt
Filed under: Malus domestica (apple)
Lineage: Eukaryota; Viridiplantae; Streptophyta; Magnoliopsida; Rosales; Rosaceae
Description: long non-coding RNA (MDOM_LNC006448)
Source: RNAcentral
GCAACUCAGCAGAGAGGAGGAGGGCUUCCAAAUCAACAUAAGAAAUUGGGUUUUCACGAGCUUGGGCAGCAGCAACGGUAUUUUCGAACUUGGGGCCAACAUUGGACAUGAUCACAGCAACAAGAUCGGCAUCAGUGAUUGGCGACCCAACAAGCGCCAGACUAUCAACAAGAGAGUGGAUGCGAUCCAGAUAGUCAGCGAUGGAGGAAUCACCACGCUUGGUUUGGAAGAAGGCUGUACGAAGUUGGAUGAUGCGACUCUGAUUGUGAGACGCAUAUCGGUGUUGCAAAGCAACCCAGACAUCACGAACAGAUUGGUAACGAGCAGUUGCAGAGAGAGCCUGUAGGCCAAGAGACCCAUUGAUACAAGAAAGAACCAAUUGAUCUUUCUGAAUCCAAUCCUCAUAAGCAGGAUUGACAUUGGUGGUGAGGUUUCCAGUAUCAUCCUUGAGAAAGUAGGCAGGGCAUUCGGAGGAUCCAUCAAUAAAAUGCAUCAGACGACGACUUUUGAGAACGGGUACAAUCUGAGCGAGCCAGAGAGGGUAGUUGGUGGUAUCAAGUUUGAGAGUAAUGGCGUGGGAAACAUUGGGGAGGGUGGAAGAAUCUAUAGAAUGAGGAGUAUUGGUAGUGGCAGCCAUGAGUAGAAAAAAAAAAAUAAUGGACGAUGAGUCAAGGGCUCUGAGAUACCAUAAAAGAUUAAGUAUUAUCGAAGAUAAAGGACACAGGUUUUGGUUGAAUGUUUAGGAUGAUCUUCCAUUGAUCUCAAUACAGGUAUUUAUACAAUUUCUUAGAGAGUUUAUAGGGGUUGACAAACUGUACAAGGAAAGAUUUUACAAUUGAAUAUGUGCAUACAAUCAGGAAGCUUAAUAAGGUAAAUGAAUGUGAUCAUGAUUUCAUGGGCUGAUGAGCUUGAUUCCCUCCAUCUUGUCUAUCAAUCCGGUGGUUGUCUCAUAUAUACAUCCUCAUUUAGAUACCCAUGCAAAAAUGAAUUUUGGACGUCCAACUGUCGAACAUGCCACUUCUUGGAAACUGCAAGACUUAAAACAAGUCUAAUGGUGCUAUGCUUGACAACAGGACUGAAGGUCUCCUUGUAAUCCAUCCCUGGUUUCUGAUGAAAACCAUUUGCCACAAGCCUCGCCAUAUGUCUCUCAAUCGAGCCAUCUGCACGUCGUUUGAUCUUAAACACCCACUUAUUUGGCAAUAGAUUCAUGCCACUAAGAUAAGGGACAUGAUUCCAAGUGCCACACCGCUGCAAGGCACUGAAUUCCUGGGCCAUCGCAGUCCUCCAUGUUAGAUGAAGUCUGUUGAAAAGAUUAUGAGAAGAUUAUUCUAAUGGCUUAUUCUAAUGGGAGCCAUUUUCUUCUGUCAAAGAUGCUCCACUCACAGUGCAUCGUGGACAGCAAGGGUCUUCACAUGGACUGCAGCAUUGUGGACAGCAAAGAUGCCUCUUCCAAUAUUUCUUUAUUGCAUGCGUGUGUAAUAUGAUGUAUAUAAAUAUCUGCUGCUAUUGCAGCAGAAUGUGUGGAUAGAAAAUAUUCAAUCCAUUUUUAAUAUGGUUUCUAGAGUUUUUUUUUGUCUAACGACAGCGAUCCUAGUUUCCUAUCCUUCCCAUCCUCGCUUCCAUGGCUGAAAACAAUGUUCCCGCUAGUUCAUCCACCCUCCCAAACAACUCUUUUCAUCCGUUUUCCACUGUUGUUAAUAUCAAACUUGAUAGAACCAACUACCCACUGUGGUUGGCUCAAAUACUCCCUAUCCUAAAAAGUAGGGACCUGAUGGGAUAUGUUGAUGGCACGCUGGUGUGUCCUCCAAAGAAUGUGACUGGUGUAACCACUCUGAACCCAGCGUACACUGCCUGGGUACAACAGGAUCAAAUGAUCCUCAGUUGGAUAAAUGGUUCUCUAACUGCCUCUGUCUUGUCUGUGGUGGCAAGCAAACGAACUGCUCGAGCAACCUGGGAAGCUCUUGAGCAAAGGUAUGCCUCUACUUCUCAAAAUAGAAUUUUGUUUUUUUGAGAAAUGAGUUGUUGCAGACCAAGAAAGGUGAUCUAUCUGUGGCGGAUUACCUGGAUCGCAUGAAUGCGAUAGCUGAUAACCUUGCCCUAGCUGGGCAUCCUGUGAGUGAUGAUGAGCUCGUGCAGAUUGUGUUGACCAAUCUUGGACCGGCCUUUGAGAUGACAGUAAGUGCUGCACAAGCUCGUGAUAAUCCUAUCACGUAUCCCACUCUUGAAGCACUCCUGCUCACAACCGAAAGAAGAAUGGCGGACCAAACUGUCCCUUUGGUGGAAGGUGCUACUGUCACUGCCUUCAUUGCGUCUAGAGGCCGUGGUGGAGGCCGCUCUUGUGGAAAUGGACGAGGCACCUCUCCAUCCACUCGUGGUGCUCAAAGAAGCUACAACCCACGCAAUAAUAAUUAUCAGCGCAAUCCUUCAGGUAAUAUUGAAAGAUCUGCUUCAUAUGGUGAUCGCAUUGUUUGCCAAAUCUGCGGCAAACCUGGACAUCCCGCUCUUGACUGCUACCACCGCAUGAAUACUGCUUUUGAAGGCCGAAUCCCUGCCCAACGUCUCUCGACAAUGACGUCCUCCACCAUCCCCAUCAACAAGCAGCAAAAUGGAACUUGGCUCCUGGACACAGGUGCCAACGCACAUAUUACUCCAGACCUUCAGAAUUUGGUAAAUCCUAAAGACUAUACUGGUAAAGAUGGUGUGGGAGGUAUAGGCAAUACUUCUGGAAUUUCUAUUGCACAUUGUGGUUCAACUCAACUUAAUACUACUGCUUGCUCAUUUGCUUUACAAGAUAUCCUUCAUUGCCCUACUGCUUCUACCAAUAUCAUCUCCGCCCAUAGGUUCACCUUAGACAAUGACUGUUAUUUACUAAUCUUUCCACAUUUUUUCCUUGUUAAGGACCUCAAGACACGGAAGACGCUUUUCCGAGGGAGAUGUGAGAAUGGGUUAUACCCAUUUCCAAAUGGCAGUGGUCAACUCAAGUAUCCAGUUUCUGCGUUUGUGGGAGUUAGGGUGUCUGUUCAAAAGUGGCAUGCUCGUCUUGGUCACCCUGCCAAACCAAUAAUCAAGUUUUUAAUUUCAAAUAAAUUUGUACCAAUUCAUGGUACAUCUAAUGUCAUCUUUUGUGAGUCAUGUCCUUUAGGAAAGAGUACUAGGUUACCUUUCAGUAAGUCUGAGUUUGUCUCUCAAUUUCCUUUGCAACUUUUACAUUCUGAUGUGUGGUGUUCUCCAAUUAUUUCUAAUGAAGGUUUUCGUUAUUACCUGUUGUUUGUGGAUGAUUAUUCCCGAUAUUCUUGGAUCUUUCCCAUGAAACAAAAAUCUGAAGUUUUUUGACAUAUUUGUAAAGUUUAAAGUUAAGGUUGAAAAGAUGUUUAAUUGUUCAAUUAAAACCCUUCAAUGUGAUGAAGGUGGUGAAUAUAAAAGUCAUGCCUUUCAAAAUUUUCUUGGCGUUCAUGGAAUUUCUCAACGUUUUUCUUGUCCAAAACAUCCUGAACAAAAUGGAUUGGCAGAACGGAAACACCGACACAUUGUCGAAACCAGUAUUGUUAUGCUUUCUCAAUCUCGUAUGCCUAAUAAGUUUUGGUUUGAUGCAUGCUUAACUGCUACAUACUUGAUAAACCGUCUGCCAACUCGUGUACUAUCAAACAUAUCUCCUUUUGAGAAAUUGUUUCAAAGAAAACCAAAUUAUGCCAUGUUAAAAGUUUUUGGUUGUCGUUGUUUUCCUUGGUUAACACCAUAUAAUCAAAAUAAAUUACAACAAAAAUCCAAGUCAUGUGUCUUUAUUGGGUAUUCUCUUGAUCAUCAAGGAUACAAAUGUUUGGAUCUGUCCACAAGACGAGUUUACUUGUCUCGCCAUGUCCUAUUCGAUGAGGAUUUUUUCCCUUUUAAGGGACUCACAUCUCAUCCUGAAAGCGUUGCAUCACAAGGUAACAAUCUUUUACCCCAAUUAUUAUUUACUUUUCCCUUAACCACAACUGUUCCCGUGUGUCCUACUACAACCAAUACCCAUAGUGCCCAGUCCUCUCUUGAUACUUCCAUCACGCCACAUAUCUCUUCCUCUCCUGAUCUAACAUCUCCACCCCCAAUACCAUUACCAUCUAACCAUUCCUUAGGACCCACACUACAAUCACAUGAGCAAGUGUUAGUCAAUUCACAAUCUUUGCCAGCUAAUGUGUCUAGUGAUACUGGCCACUCUAUGACUACACGUUCCAAGUCUGGAGUUGUCAAACCCAAUCCAAAGUAUGCUAUGCAUGUUACCAUUAAAGAUAUUCCUGUUGAACCAACUUGCUUCAGUCAGGCAGUCAAGCAUCAUGAGUGGAGGGAAGCUAUGGUGCAAGAAUUUAAUGCAUUACAAAGGUGUGGCACGUGGAGUUUAGUUCCACAUCAAUCUGACAUGAACGUACUGCCAAAUAAAUGGGUGUUCAAAAUUAAGCGCAAAGCAGAUGGCACUGUUGAGCGUCAUAAAGCUCGGUUAGUGGCUAAUGGUUUUCAUCAGAAGGCUGGCGUGGAUUACACUGAGACUUUUAGUCCUGUGGUUAAACACAGCACCAUUCGUUUUGUCUUAAGUCUUGCUGUGUCAAAGAAGUGGCCUGUACGCCAACUGGAUGUAUCAAAUGCGUUCUUGCAUGGCUACUUAAAUGAACAUGUUUACAUGCGGCAACCAUCAGGGUUCAUUGACAAACAGUUUCCAAAUCAUGUUUGUAAGCUGCAACGUUCUAUUUAUGGUUUAAAACAAGCACCUAGGGCUUGGUUCCAACGCUUCUCAGAUUUCUUGCUUCAACUGGGCUUUGAGGAGUCCACAUGUGAUUACAGUUUGUUUGUGUUUAAUCAACGGGGUGUAUAUCUCAUUCUUUUAAUCUAUGUCGAUGACAUUCUCCUCACAGGGAAUAGUCCUCGCCAGAUGGAUCAUUUGAUUAAGAAACUUGGUAGUUUGUUUUCAAUGAAGGAUUUGGGACCACUAAGUUAUUUCCUGGGUAUUGAGGUCAAGUAUAAUGGUGAUUUCAUGCAUCUCUGUCAGUCCAAAUAUGCUCUGGACCUACUGACUCGAACUAAAUUCACAGACGCAAAGCCCAUUUCCACUCCAGUGCCGUCUGGUCAGAAGUUGAGUGCCUAUGCUGGAGAUCCUUUUGCCAAUCCAGAGAUGUAUCGUAGUGUUGUUGGGGCACUACAGUAUCUUACGAUAACUCGGCCUGAUUUAUCAUACGCUGUGAAUCAAGUGUGCCAGUUCAUGCACUAUAAAAAAACAACGCACUGGAUGGCUGUAAAGAGAAUCCUACGGUAUCUGAAGGCUACGUAUAAUCAUGGGUUAUUGUAUAAACCAGGAACUGCGAAGUUGACAGCUUUUUCUGAUGCAGAUUAUGCUGGCAACCCCGAUACUCGUCACUCCACAGGUGGUUUCUGUGUUUAUUUGGGUUCCAACCUUGUAUCCUAGAGUUCAAAAAAGCAAAAGACAGUAUCGAGUGCAGAGGCAGAGUAUAGGCAGUUAGCUUAUACUGCAGCAGAGUUAUCAUGGUUAAGGUCUCUUUAUAAAGAUCUCCAUCUCCAUCUGGUUCAACCAACCAUUUGGUGUGACAAUGUUUCUUCAAUUGCCCUUGCGUCCAAUCCGGUUUUUCAUUCGAGAACCAAGCAUCUUGAGGUUGACUAUCAUUAUGUUCGUGAGAAGGUUGUUCGUGGUCAGUUGUUGGUCAAUUAUGUGUGUUCCCAGGACCAACUUGCUGACAUUUUCACUAAAGGAUUGUCUUCGUCCAGAUUUCAGUUCCUUAUCUCCAAGCUCCCAGUUGUACCACCCCCUGUUAGCUUGCGGGGGGCUGUUAGAUGAAGUCUGUUGAAAAGAUUAUGAGAAGAUUAUUCUAAUGGAUUAUUCUAAUGGGAGCCAUUUUCUUCUGUCGAAGAUGCUCCACUCACAGUGCAUCGUGGACAGCAA